AGGACGAACGCUGGCGGCGUGCUUAGCACAUGCAAGUCGAGCGGAAAGGCCCUUCGGGGUACUCGAGCGGCGAACGGGUGAGUAACACGUGAGUAACCUGUCCCUAGCUCUGGGAUAGCUCCGGGAAACCGGGAUUAAUACCAGAUACGACCACUUUAGACAUCUGUCGUGGUGGAAAGGAUUCCGGCUAGGGAUGGGCUCGCGGCCUAUCAGCUUGUUGGUGGGGUAACGGCCUACCAAGGCGACGACGGGUA
This 254-nucleotide ribosomal RNA is filed under the name uncultured bacterium. Its description in RNAcentral is "partial small subunit ribosomal RNA". It matches the Rfam family "Bacterial small subunit ribosomal RNA", at positions 26 to 285 of the family's 1533-position model. The record is from RNAcentral.